GACGAACGCUGGCGGCGUGCCUAAUACAUGCAAGUAGAACGCUGAAGGAGGAGCUUGCUUCUCUGGAUGAGUUGCGAACGGGUGAGUAACGCGUAGGUAACCUGCCUGGUAGCGGGGGAUAACUAUUGGAAACGAUAGCUAAUACCGCAUAAUAGUAGAUGUUGCAUGACAUUUGCUAAAAAGGUGCAAUUGCAUCACUACCAGAUGGACCUGCGUUGUAUUAGCUAGUUGGUGAGGUAACGGCUCACCAAGGCGACGAGACAUAGCCGAACUGAGAGGGGGGUCGGCCACCCGGGGACGGGAACGCGGCCCAUACUCCUACGGGAGGCAGCAGUAGGGAAUCUUCGGCAAUGGACGGAAGUAUGACCGAGCAACGCCGCGUGAGUGAAGAAGGGUUUCGGAUCGUAAAGCUCUGUUGUAAGAGAAGAACGAGUGUGAGAGUGGAAAGUUCACACUGUGACGGUAUCUUAACAGAAAGGGACGGCUAACUACGUG
RNAcentral lists this ribosomal RNA (495 nucleotides) under uncultured bacterium. RNAcentral describes it as "partial 16S ribosomal RNA". It matches the Rfam family "Bacterial small subunit ribosomal RNA", at positions 28 to 507 of the family's 1533-position model. The record is from RNAcentral.